Molecule: ribosomal RNA, 297 nt
Filed under: Vibrio splendidus
Lineage: Bacteria; Pseudomonadati; Pseudomonadota; Gammaproteobacteria; Vibrionales; Vibrionaceae
Description: partial 16S ribosomal RNA
Rfam family: Bacterial small subunit ribosomal RNA
Source: RNAcentral
CAAGCUAGCGAUAGUGAGCGAAUCCCAAAAAGUGCGUCGUAGUCCGGAUUGGAGUCUGCAACUCGACUCCAUGAAGUCGGAAUCGCUAGUAAUCGUGAAUCAGAAUGUCACGGUGAAUACGUUCCCGGGCCUUGUACACACCGCCCGUCACACCAUGGGAGUGGGCUGCAAAAGAAGUGGGUAGUUUAACCUUUCGGGGAGGACGCUCACCACUUUGUGGUUCAUGACUGGGGUGAAGUCGUAACAAGGUAGCCCUAGGGGAACCUGGGGCUGGAUCACCUCCUUAUACGAAGAUAC